CCAGACUCCUACGGGAGGCAGCAGUGAGGAAUAUUGGUCAAUGGGCGAGAGCCUGAACCAGCCAAGUCGCGUGAGGGAAGACGGUCCUAUGGAUUGUAAACCUCUUUUGCCGGGGAGCAAAAAGCGGUACGUGUACCGCAUCGAGAGUACCCGGAGAAAAAGCAUCGGCUAACUCCGUGCCAGCAGCCGCGGUAAUACGGAGGAUGCGAGCGUUAUCCGGAUUUAUUGGGUUUAAAGGGUGCGUAGGCGGGAUGCCAAGUCAGGGGUAAAAAUGCGGUGCUCAACGCCGUCGAGCCGUUGAAACUGGCGUUCUUGAGUGGGCGAGAAGUAUGCGGAAUGCGUGGUGUAGCGGUGAAAUGCAUAGAUAUCACGCAGAACUCCGAUUGCGAAGGCAGCAUACCGGCGCCCUACUGACGCUGAGGCACGAAAGCGUGGGUAUCGAACAGGAUUAGAUACCCUCGUA
Molecule: ribosomal RNA, 463 nt
Filed under: uncultured bacterium
Lineage: Bacteria
Description: bacterial SSU rRNA
Rfam family: Bacterial small subunit ribosomal RNA
Source: RNAcentral